AUUGAACGCUGGCGGCAGGCCUAACACAUGCAAGUCGAGCGGCAGCACGGGAAGCUUGCUUCCUGGUGGCGAGCGGCGGACGGGUGAGUAAUGCAUAGAAAUCUGCCCGGUAGUGGGGGAUAACCUGGGGAAACCCAGGCUAAUACCGCAUACGUCCUACGGGAGAAAGCAGGGGAUCUUCGGACCUUGCGCUAUCGGAUGAGUCUAUGUCGGAUUAGCUUGUUGGUGAGGUAAUGGCUCACCAAGGCGACGAUCCGUAGCUGGUCUGAGAGGAUGAUCAGCCACAUCGGGACUGAGACACGGCCCGAACUCCUACGGGAGGCAGCAGUGGGGAAUAUUGGACAAUGGGCGAAAGCCUGAUCCAGCCAUGCCGCGUGUGUGAAGAAGGCCUUCGGGUUGUAAAGCACUUUCAGUGGGGAAGAAAGCCUUGGGGCUAAUACCCUCGAGGAAGGACAUC
Molecule: ribosomal RNA, 457 nt
Filed under: uncultured bacterium
Lineage: Bacteria
Description: bacterial SSU rRNA
Rfam family: Bacterial small subunit ribosomal RNA
Source: RNAcentral